Molecule: non-coding RNA, 475 nt
Organism: Lonchura striata (white-rumped munia)
Lineage: Eukaryota; Metazoa; Chordata; Aves; Passeriformes; Estrildidae
Source: RefSeq, a predicted model, not a curated record
CUGUGUAUUGAAGACGGAUGUAGAGUAGCCUAGGUUGACAAUUGUGUUCAGCAAAGUACAUCGGCAUUCAGGGGAUUUAUAAUAACUGGUUGUUUUGUAAUAUAUUUUACUAACAGGGCAGAAAUGUGUAUAUGUUGAGCCACCUAGGAGAGUUAAAGAACUACUGGAGGAGCACUUUCAUUUACAGAAAGAAGAAUGCAACAUUAAUCAUCCAGCUGCAGCAGCUCUGGAAGAAGUUUGGAAAGUGAAGAACAAUUUCUCCAUUAGAAGCCUGAAACCAGUGUCACAGAGCAGCAGUGACUUACUUUUACAGCCUCAAUUCUACUCAAGACAUGCAAGAAUGAAAAAUUGCUGAAUGUCAAGGCUGUGAAGACCUGAGCCUGCUUUGAUGUGUCAAAUCAAACAUCAGCAUAACUAGCUACCUUUGGAAAUGUAGAUGUUUACUUAUAGGAUUUUGAAUAAAGUUCUAAUUGAA